Molecule: ribosomal RNA, 254 nt
Filed under: uncultured bacterium
Lineage: Bacteria
Description: partial 16S ribosomal RNA
Rfam family: Bacterial small subunit ribosomal RNA
Source: RNAcentral
UACGUAGGAGGCGAGCGUUGUCCGGAAUUACUGGGCGUAAAGAGCGCGUAGGCGGCACGGUACGACCGGUGUGAAAGCCCCCGGCUCAACUGGGGAGGGUCACCGGUAACGGCCGAGCUAUGAGUGCAGGAGAGGGAAGUGGAACUCCGGGAGUAGCGGUGAAAUGCGUAGAGACCCGGAGGAACACCAGUGGCGAAGGCGGCUUCCUGGUCUGCAACUGACGCUGAGGCGCGAAAGCUAGGGGAGCAAACAGG